Molecule: long non-coding RNA, 292 nt
Organism: Oncorhynchus tshawytscha (Chinook salmon)
Lineage: Eukaryota; Metazoa; Chordata; Actinopteri; Salmoniformes; Salmonidae
Source: Ensembl
GCCCGUCAGAGAGGUGGACAAGGAGCCCGUCAGAGAGAUGGACAAGGGGCCCGUCAGAGAGGUGGACAUGGGGCCCGUAAGAGAGGUGGACAAGGGGCCCGUCAGAGAGGUGGACAAGGGGCCCGUCAGAGAGGUGGACAGGGGGCCCUUCAGAGAGGUGGACAAGGGGCCCGUCAGAGAGGUGGACAAGGGGCCCGUCAGAGAGGUGGACAUGGGGUCCGUAAGAGAGGUGGACAAGGGGACCGUCAGAGAGGUGGACAAGGGGCCCGUCAGAGAGGUGGACAUGGUGGGC